CCGGUGAUUAGUGGCGAACGGGUGAGUAACACGUGAGUAACCUGCCCUUAACUCUGGGAUAAGCCUGGGAAACUGGGUCUAAUACCGGAUAUGACUCCUCAUCGCAUGGUGGGGGGUGGAAAGCUUUUUGUGGUUUUGGAUGGACUCGCGGCCUAUCAGCUUGUUGGUGAGGUAAUGGCUCACCAAGGCGACGACGGGUAGCCGGCCUGAGAGGGUGACCGGCCACACUGGGACUGAGACACGGCCCAGACUCCUACGGGAGGCAGCAGUGGGGAAUAUUGCACAAUGGGCGCAAGCCUGAUGCAGCGACGCCGCGUGAGGGAUGACGGCCUUCGGGUUGUAAACCUCUUUCAGUAGGGAAGAAGCGAAAGUGACGGUACCUGCAGAAGAAGCGCCGGCUAACUACGUGCCAGCAGCCGCGGUAAUACGUAGGGCGCAAGCGUUAUCCGGAAUUAUUGGGCGUAAAGAGCUCGUAGGCGGUUUGUCGCGUCUGCCGUGAAAGUCCGGGGCUCAACUCCGGAUCUGCGGUGGGUACGGGCAGACUAGAGUGAUGUAGGGGAGACUGGAAUUCCUGGUGUAGCGGUGAAAUGCGCAGAUAUCAGGAGGAACACCGAUGGCGAAGGCAGGUCUCUGGGCAUUAACUGACGCUGA
Molecule: ribosomal RNA, 651 nt
Filed under: Arthrobacter sp. B2_4_B13
Lineage: Bacteria; Bacillati; Actinomycetota; Actinomycetes; Micrococcales; Micrococcaceae
Description: bacterial SSU rRNA
Rfam family: Bacterial small subunit ribosomal RNA
Source: RNAcentral